Molecule: ribosomal RNA, 350 nt
Filed under: uncultured Lysobacteraceae bacterium
Lineage: Bacteria; Pseudomonadati; Pseudomonadota; Gammaproteobacteria; Lysobacterales; Lysobacteraceae
Description: bacterial SSU rRNA
Rfam family: Bacterial small subunit ribosomal RNA
Source: RNAcentral
GUAGUCCACGCCCUAAACGAUGCGAACUGGACGUUGGGCUCAACUUGGAGCUCAGUGUCGAAGCUAACGCGUUAAGUUCGCCGCCUGGGGAGUACGGUCGCAAGACUGAAACUCAAAGGAAUUGACGGGGGCCCGCACAAGCGGUGGAGUAUGUGGUUUAAUUCGAUGCAACGCGCAGAACCUUACCUGGCCUUGACAUCCACGGAACCUUGCAGAGAUGCGGGGGUGCCUUCGGGAACCGUGAGACAGGUGCUGCAUGGCUGUCGUCAGCUCGUGUCGUGAGAUGUUGGGUUAAGUCCCGCAACGAGCGCAACCCUUGUCCUUAGUUGCCAGCACGUAAAGGUGGGAAC